UAAUAACAUUCUUCUUUAUACAGCAUUUUGAAGCUAUUUCUUGUUUUUGCGAUUAUUGGUAGAGGUAUGCCUUUCUCAGUGGCAUACUGGUAAAGUCCAGAGCCUUAACACAGGCUGUCAAUAAAUGCAAAGUUCAAGCUGAGCAUUUUCUAACAAAGAUACUUAAGUAUAACAAGACCCACUAGAGUUUUUUAAACUAUAUUUUAAUAGUUAACCUGGAGCCUGGUAGCUCUGCUGGGUAGCUAGACCCAGAAGAGCAAAAACAGUCACUAC
Molecule: long non-coding RNA, 273 nt
Filed under: Pan troglodytes (chimpanzee)
Lineage: Eukaryota; Metazoa; Chordata; Mammalia; Primates; Hominidae
Description: long non-coding RNA NONPTRT013226
Source: RNAcentral